Molecule: ribosomal RNA, 1447 nt
Filed under: uncultured organism
Description: 16S ribosomal RNA
Rfam family: Bacterial small subunit ribosomal RNA
Source: RNAcentral
GCUCAUGAUGAACGCUAGCUACAGGCUUAACACAUGCAAGUCGAGGGGCAGCAUUUCAGUUUGCUUGCAAACUGGAGAUGGCGACCGGCGCACGGGUGAGUAACACGUAUCCAACCUGCCGAUAACUCGGGGAUAGCCUUUCGAAAGAAAGAUUAAUACCCGAUGGCAUAAUUAGACCGCAUGGUCUUAUUAUUAAAGAAUUUCGGUUAUCGAUGGGGAUGCGUUCCAUUAGGCAGUUGGUGAGGUAACGGCUCACCAAACCUUCGAUGGAUAGGGGUUCUGAGAGGAAGGUCCCCCACAUUGGAACUGAGACACGGUCCAAACUCCUACGGGAGGCAGCAGUGAGGAAUAUUGGUCAAUGGGCGCAGGCCUGAACCAGCCAAGUAGCGUGAAGGAUGACUGCCCUAUGGGUUGUAAACUUCUUUUAUAUGGGAAUAAAGUUUUCCACGUGUGGAAUUUUGUAUGUACCAUAUGAAUAAGGAUCGGCUAACUCCGUGCCAGCAGCCGCGGUAAUACGGAGGAUCCGAGCGUUAUCCGGAUUUAUUGGGUUUAAAGGGGGCGUAGGUGGACAGUUAAGUCAGUUGUGAAAGUUUGCGGCUCAACCGUAAAAUUGCACCUGAUACUGGCUGUCUUGAGUACAGUAGAGGUGGGCGGAAUUCGUGGUGUAGCGGUGAAAUGCUUAGAUAUCACGAAGAACUCCGAUUGCGAAGGCAGCUCACUGGACUGCAACUGACACUGAUGCUCGAAAGUGUGGGUAUCAAACAGGAUUAGAUACCCUGGUAGUCCACACAGUAAACGAUGAAUACUCGCUGUUUGCGAUAUACAGUAAGCGGCCAAGCGAAAGCAUUAAGUAUUCCACCUGGGGAGUACGCCGGCAACGGUGAAACUCAAAGGAAUUGACGGGGGCCCGCACAAGCGGAGGAACAUGUGGUUUAAUUCGAUGAUACGCGAGGAACCUUACCCGGGCUUAAAUUGCAUUUGAAUAUAUUGGAAACAGUAUAGCCGUAAGGCAAAUGUGAAGGUGCUGCAUGGUUGUCGUCAGCUCGUGCCGUGAGGUGUCGGCUUAAGUGCCAUAACGAGCGCAACCCUUAUCUUUAGUUACUAACAGGUCAUGCUGAGGACUCUAGAGAGACUGCCGUCGUAAGAUGUGAGGAAGGUGGGGAUGACGUCAAAUCAGCACGGCCCUUACGUCCGGGGCUACACACGUGUUACAAUGGGGGGUACAGAAGGCAGCUACCUGGUGACAGGAUGCUAAUCCCAAAAGCCUCUCUCAGUUCGGAUCGAAGUCUGCAACCCGACUUCGUGAAGCUGGAUUCGCUAGUAAUCGCGCAUCAGCCAUGGCGCGGUGAAUACGUUCCCGGGCCUUGUACACACCGCCCGUCAAGCCAUGAAAGCCGGGGGUACCUGAAGUACGUAACCGCAAGGAGCGUCCUAGGGUAAAACUGGU